CAAUGGAAGAACAUGGCAGGUAUUCCAUCACAGCCAAACGACAAACAGUGCGGCUAUUUUGUGAUGAGAUAUAUGAGAGAUAUCAUCCAUGAUACAAACUUGUCAUUUGCAGAUAAGUGGGCUAGGAGAGCCGACCAUGUUUAUGGUCAAGUGGAAAUUGAUGAAGUGCGUAAUGAGCUCGUGAGUUAUGUGUUGAAGAACAUCCUCAAGCUGUAAAGUAUG
This is a long non-coding RNA of Rosa chinensis, 222 nucleotides long. RefSeq lists it as uncharacterized. The record is from RefSeq and is a predicted model, not a curated record. NCBI's taxonomy places the organism in Eukaryota, Viridiplantae, Streptophyta, Magnoliopsida, Rosales, Rosaceae. The transcript has 3 exons.